UGGCUCAGUUGGUGAAGCAUCUGUCUGCAAUGCAGAAGACCUAGGUUCAAUUCCUGG
Molecule: transfer RNA, 57 nt
Filed under: Ovis aries (sheep)
Lineage: Eukaryota; Metazoa; Chordata; Mammalia; Artiodactyla; Bovidae
Rfam family: tRNA
About the family: Transfer RNA (tRNA) molecules are approximately 80 nucleotides in length. Their secondary structure includes four short double-helical elements and three loops (D, anti-codon, and T loops).
Source: Rfam by way of RNAcentral